This 302-nucleotide ribosomal RNA is filed under the name uncultured eukaryote. Its description in RNAcentral is "partial large subunit ribosomal RNA". It matches the Rfam family "Eukaryotic large subunit ribosomal RNA", at positions 40 to 350 of the family's 3401-position model. The record is from RNAcentral.
AUAUAACUAAGCGGAGGAAAAGAAACUAACCAGGAUUCCCUCAGUAACGGCGAGUGAAGCGGGAAAAGCUCAGACUGAAAAGCUUCGGCAUUGUAGUCUGGAGAGGCCAAAUCAAUUCACGGUUGUGCAAAAGUGCUCUGGAACGAGCCGCCGAGGAGGGUGAUAGCCCCGUUACGCACAAAUUUUCCGUCGAGUGUACGAUUGGUCUUCUACGAGUCGAGUUGUUUGGGAAUGCAGCUCUAAGUGGGUGGUAAAUUCCAUCUAAAGCUAAAUAUUGGUGGGAGACCGAUAGCGCACAAGUA